ACAAAUCUGGUGGGAAAGGGAGAGCUUUCUGACUGAAGCCGCCUUUUUGUUUUAGAGCAUGGCGGGCAAUGAGAAGAACCAAGUCGCUGAUGCACAGAGAAAAUUUUUAAAAUGUGACUUCAUUUCAAAGAAAAAUCUGAAUGCCAUAUGACCAGCAAGAGAAGAGGCACUAAUCCAAAACAAUCUUCUUACCAUGAUUAUUUGAUGACUGAAUCUACACUUCAAUUGAAGUAGGCUAAUGCAGUCCUUAAAUGACAUGACACAGGUUUUUACCCCCUGGUUUAAAUGAGUGAGUCUUGUUACUCAUUUCCUUCUUUGUUAAGCUUAAGAUUUCCCCUUGGUUAACCACCUAAAUAUGCCUGCACAGCUGUAUGCAUGUGUGUAUUUUCAAAAUCACUCAUGUUUUGAUUGGUUUGUUUUAAAGCAAUAGGAAAUUAAAGCGCAUCGUUUCAUCAACAGUAUCCUUGAUUGAACAUUGUACAUUUUUUGAAAUUUCUGUGUCAUUUUCCCUAAGACUCACUGAAUACUUUCCUAUUUGGUUCUAUGGCCUCAUGGCCCAAAUAAAUGAAGUUUUAUUUUC
This is a long non-coding RNA of Echinops telfairi (small Madagascar hedgehog), 580 nucleotides long. RefSeq lists it as uncharacterized. The record is from RefSeq and is a predicted model, not a curated record. NCBI's taxonomy places the organism in Eukaryota, Metazoa, Chordata, Mammalia, Afrosoricida, Tenrecidae. The transcript is spliced from 2 exons.